RNAcentral lists this ribosomal RNA (252 nucleotides) under uncultured bacterium. RNAcentral describes it as "partial 16S ribosomal RNA". It matches the Rfam family "Bacterial small subunit ribosomal RNA", at positions 524 to 776 of the family's 1533-position model. The record is from RNAcentral.
UACGUAGGGUGCAAGCGUUGUCCGGAAUUAUUGGGCGUAAAGAGCUCGUAGGCGGUCUGUCGCGUCGGCUGUGAAAACUCGGGGCUCAACUCCGAGCUUGCAGUCGAUACGGGCAGGCUAGAGUUCGGCAGGGGAGACUGGAAUUCCUGGUGUAGCGGUGAAAUGCGCAGAUAUCAGGAGGAACACCGGUGGCGAAGGCGGGUCUCUGGGCCGAUACUGACGUGAGGAGCGAAAGCGUGGGGAGCGAACAGG